RNAcentral lists this ribosomal RNA (436 nucleotides) under uncultured Acidimicrobiales bacterium. RNAcentral describes it as "bacterial SSU rRNA". It matches the Rfam family "Bacterial small subunit ribosomal RNA", at positions 341 to 792 of the family's 1533-position model. Lineage: Bacteria; Bacillati; Actinomycetota; Acidimicrobiia; Acidimicrobiales. The record is from RNAcentral.
ACGGAAGGCAGCAGUGGGGAAUCUUGCGCAAUGGGCGAAAGCCUGACGCAGCAACGCCGCGUGCGGGAUGAAGGCCUUCGGGUUGUAAACCGCUUUCAGUGGGGACGAAUUCAGACGGUACCCACAGAAGAAGCCCCGGCCAACUACGUGCCAGCAGCCGCGGUAACACGUAGGGGGCGAGCGUUGUCCGGAAUCAUUGGGCGUAAAGAGCUCGUAGGCGGCUCAGUAAGUCGGGUGUGAAACCCCCAGGCUCAACCUGGGGACGCCACCCGAUACUGCUGUGGCUAGAGUCCAGUAGGGGAGUGUGGAAUUCCCGGUGUAGCGGUGAAAUGCGCAGAUAUCGGGAGGAACACCAGCGGCGAAGGCGGCACUCUGGGCUGGAACUGACGCUGAGGAGCGAAAGCGUGGGUAGCAAACAGGAUUAGAUACCCUGGUA